This 21-nucleotide microRNA is filed under the name Homo sapiens (human). RNAcentral's name for it is "hsa-miR-4649-3p". The record is from miRBase by way of RNAcentral. Lineage: Eukaryota; Metazoa; Chordata; Mammalia; Primates; Hominidae.
UCUGAGGCCUGCCUCUCCCCA